Molecule: ribosomal RNA, 372 nt
Filed under: uncultured organism
Description: partial 16S ribosomal RNA
Rfam family: Bacterial small subunit ribosomal RNA
Source: RNAcentral
GUAGGUGGCAAGCGUUAUCCGGAAUUAUUGGGCGUAAAGCGCGCGUGGGCGGUUUUUUAAGUCUGAUGUGAAAGCCCACGGCUCAACCGUGGAGGGUCAUUGGAAACUGGAAAACUUGAGUGCAGAAGAGGAAAGUGGAAUUCCAUGUGUAGCGGUGAAAUGCGCAGAGAUAUGGAGGAACACCAGCGGCGAAGGCGACUUUCUGGUCUGUAACUGACGCUGAUGUGCGAAAGCGUGGGGAUCAAACAGGAUUAGUUACCCUGGUAGUCCACGCCGUAAACGAUGAGUGCUAAGUGUUAGGGGGGUUUCCGCCCCCUUAGUGCUGCAGCUAACGCAUUAAGCACUCCGCCUGGGGAUACGACCGCAAGGUUG